CCUAUCAGAGGGGAAGUAACCCGGCGAAAGUCGGACUAAUACCGCAUAAAACAGGGGCACCGCAUGGUGAUAUUUGUUAAAGAAAAUUCGCUGAUAGAUGGGCAUGCGUUCCAUUAGGUAGUUGGUGAGGUAACGGCUCACCAAGCCGACGAUGGAUAGGGGAACUGAGAGGUUGGUCCCCCACACUGGUACUGAGACACGGACCAGACUCCUACGGGAGGCAGCAGUGAGGAAUAUUGGUCAAUGGGCGAGAGCCUGAACCAGCCAAGUCGCGUGGAAAAGGAAGAAGGAUCUAUGGUUCGUAAACUUCUUUUGCAGGGGAAUAAAGUGCGGGACGUGUCCUGUUUUGUAUGUACCCUGAGAAUAAGGAUCGGCUAACUCCGUGCCAGCAGCUGC
RNAcentral lists this ribosomal RNA (396 nucleotides) under uncultured bacterium. RNAcentral describes it as "bacterial SSU rRNA". It matches the Rfam family "Bacterial small subunit ribosomal RNA", at positions 129 to 518 of the family's 1533-position model. The record is from RNAcentral.